UGGCUUGGUUUCCUGGGAGGUGGACUCAGGGUACUCCAGCUCCUCUCAGCUAAGCCUAGAGUAAAGGGGCCAGAGGUGCACCUGCGUGGGAGAGCUGCCGAAGCAGGAGCCUUGCCUGGGCUGCCCUAGCCUCAUAGGU
This 139-nucleotide small nucleolar RNA is filed under the name Meriones unguiculatus (Mongolian gerbil). Its description in RNAcentral is "Small Cajal body specific RNA 21 (ENSMUGG00000016871.1)". It matches the Rfam family "Small Cajal body specific RNA 21". Rfam says of the family: scaRNAs are a specific class of small nuclear RNAs which localise to the Cajal bodies and guide the modification of RNA polymerase II transcribed spliceosomal RNAs U1, U2, U4, U5 and U12. Lineage: Eukaryota; Metazoa; Chordata; Mammalia; Rodentia; Muridae. The record is from RNAcentral.